UGCUUAGCAUGGGAGAUGGAAGAAAC
This 26-nucleotide non-coding RNA is filed under the name Rattus norvegicus (Norway rat). The record is from RNAcentral. Lineage: Eukaryota; Metazoa; Chordata; Mammalia; Rodentia; Muridae.